GACGGCUUUGACCUUUGAACUGUUAUAUUAUUGGUCGACAUACAGGGAGAAACAGGUGUAAAUUAUUAGCAGGAAAAGCGAGAGGAAACUUGAAAUGACGGCAUCCUCGAUGGUUCCAAUUUCCAGCCUAUUCCUCAAUUUUCAACCUCAGUGACAGACAACAUAGACAGGAAUGGCUGUUUAGCAAAAAAGGGAAAUGCAAUGAGGCAGCGGAGAUUGUCCCCCAUUGGUCCCAGGGUCCCCGUGGGUUAGGCCCACCCUACAGUCAUGCCCCGAGAAACAGAGCCUGAUGAGGAGCACAAGGCCGCGAAGGCUUUCCCUGAAUGCUCAGGGGAGCACACACUUGCAGAACCACACAGGCAAGUGCAAACACUCACAAAGGCAAGUGGGCACACGUACAAUAAGCUAGACAUGUACAGUGUACACAAAGAAGGAGCAUUUACUCCUAAUACUGGCUAAAUAUCAAAAAACACAGUAAACCACACAAACACAGACCUGCUGGUCCUUUUUGGCAAAACCUCAUGCAGUUCACAUCAAAGGGAUAACUGUAGUGUCAGAAAUAUAGACCUUUUACCAAAUCAAUAUUUUUUCAUUUUUUUGUUCAUGUUUAUUAUUUACUUGUCCACAUUUCAUAGUUAUGUUUAUUUUUGGACCAGCAAUAUUUUAGCUUUGUUUAUUUUGCUCUUUGAAAUGCAUUUAAAAAAAUCGAUCAAUAAAGAAAUAAAAAAAUAAACAUUUUGUCUGGCUUUUAAGAAUGAUUAAAUUAGUACACUUGUAAUAAGGGCCAAACAAUGUUUAGAAAUAUUCCAAAGCCUAUUAAUGGGCUUCAGCCUGUUAGCAAAUAAAGAAAUUCCUUCCGCUCCAGCUGGAGUUGUGUGCAGUUAUGGUUAUUAUAAAUAAAGUUUAGCCUCAAACACAAAAGGGUUUAUACACAUAUACUCCUCGUGUGUCUGAAGAUGCAUAACCAGUACAUAAACAGUAAAAUCUACCCAACCCAAGAGGCCUUCAGCUCUGAUCUGUUUGCUUGGCUGCUGAACAGAACAAGAUUUAUAUAAAAAUAAAAAGAUGAACAAAAGAAUAAAUAAACAAAUGCAUAAAUUCCACCUUGUCCAGCAGGAAUUGUGAGCAAUUAUGGCUAAUAUAAAUAAAGCUUGGCCUCAAAUGCAAAAGGGGUUAACACAGAUAUACUCCUCGUGUUUUCAAGGAUACAUAAACCCUAUCGUAACGGUAUUCGGCCCAAAACAAAAGGCCUUUGGCUCUUAUCUUUUUGCUCAGCUGCUGGACAGGACAAGAUCUAAUAAAUAAAUUAAGAAAUAAAGAUUUAAAAAUUCUAGCAGAAAUUGUGGUUUAUCCAAAUUACAUUUUAACUUGGCAAACUUCAGGAUUUAUUUCUUAUAAAAAUGAAUAGCUUUUUCAUUUUUUUGGCUAAAUGGGUUUUCUUAGACUAGCCUUACAGGGACCAUGACAUUGGCGUGCAUCCUAGACACCAGCCACUCUCAUUUUGGGUAACCCAUAGUGGUUCUGUGAAUAAACUGGGAAAAAAGAAACUUUUAUUAUAAAUGCUGUCAAAUUUUGUCACCCUCAGCACAUUGCUUUUAAUUGUACCUCCAGGCCUUGAUAGAAGCACAAAAUGUGUUCACCUCGGUGGGACCAAUUUUUGAGUUUCUUCAAAGAUGAUACAGUGCAGAAUAAAAAAAAAAAAAAAAAAGUCAUCUGGUAUUGACACAAAAAGGCCUUCUUCUGCUUAGCACUAACUAGCUUUUUAUGAGUAAACCUCUCACCUCUGAGUUGGCUAACUAGCCAUCGCUCCUGCCUACUGGCAACACACCUGCCCCAACUGCACUUGGAGGCAAACACCGGCCUCAGGAGAAUACACACCCCAAAACACACACAACUGCACACAAGUGCGUACUUAAACCAAAUA
This is a long non-coding RNA of Oryzias melastigma (Indian medaka), 1924 nucleotides long. RefSeq lists it as uncharacterized. The transcript has 3 exons. NCBI's taxonomy places the organism in Eukaryota, Metazoa, Chordata, Actinopteri, Beloniformes, Adrianichthyidae. The record is from RefSeq and is a predicted model, not a curated record.